This 430-nucleotide ribosomal RNA is filed under the name Pseudomonadota bacterium. Its description in RNAcentral is "Proteobacteria bacterium partial 16S ribosomal RNA". It matches the Rfam family "Bacterial small subunit ribosomal RNA", at positions 355 to 776 of the family's 1533-position model. Lineage: Bacteria; Pseudomonadati; Pseudomonadota. The record is from RNAcentral.
UGGGGAAUAUUGGACAAUGGGGGGAACCCUGAUCCAGCCAUGCCGCGUGUGUGAAGAAGGCCUUAUGGUUGUAAAGCACUUUAAGCGAGGAGGAGGGUACUGGUAUUAAUACUACCAGCUACUGGACGUUACUCGCAGAAUAAGCACCGGCUAACUCUGUGCCAGCAGCCGCGGUAAUACAGAGGGUGCGAGCGUUAAUCGGAUUUACUGGGCGUAAAGCGUGCGUAGGCGGCUAAUUGAGUCGGAUGUGAAAUCCCCGAGCUUAACUUGGGAAUUGCAUUCGAUACUGGUUAGCUAGAGUGUGGGAGAGGAUGGUAGAAUUCCGGGUGUAGCGGUGAAAUGCGUAGAGAUCUGGAGGAAUACCGAUGGCGAAGGCAGCCAUCUGGCCUGACACUGACGCUGAGGUACGAAAGCAUGGGGAGCAAACAGG